CGGGGAAUCAGGGUUCGAUUCCGGAGAGGGAGCCUGAGAAACGGCUACCACAUCCAAGGAAGGCAGCAGGCGCGCAAAUUACCCACUCCCGGCACGGGGAGGUAGUGACGAAAAAUAACGAUACGGGUACUCAUCCGAGGCCCCGUAAUCGGAAUGAGUACACUUUAAAUCCUUUAACAAGGAUCCAUUGGAGGGCAAGUCUGGUGCCAGCAGCCGCGGUAAUUCCAGCUCCAAUAGCGUAUAUUAAAGUUGUUGCGGUUAAAAAGCUCGUAGUUGAAUCUGUGUUUCACACUGUCGGUUCACCGCUCGCGGUGUUUACUGGCAUGAUGUGGGACGUCCUACCGGUGGGCUUAGCCCUUCGGGGCGGUCCAACUAAUAUCCCAUCGCGGUGCUCUUCAUUGAGUGUCGAGAUGGGCCGGUACGUUUACUUUGAACAAAUUAGAGUGCUUAAAGCAGGCUAGCCUCGCCUGAAUACUGUGUGCAUGGAAUAAUGGAAUAGGACCUCGGUUCUAUUUUGUUGGUUUUCGGAACUCCGAGGUAAUGAUUAAUAGGGACAGAUGGGGGCAUUCGUAUUGCGACGUUAGAGGUGAAAUUCUUGGAUCGUCGCAAGACGGACAGAAGCGAAAGCAUUUGCC
This 635-nucleotide ribosomal RNA is filed under the name Vanhornia eucnemidarum. RNAcentral describes it as "SSU rRNA". It matches the Rfam family "Eukaryotic small subunit ribosomal RNA", at positions 363 to 959 of the family's 1831-position model. The record is from RNAcentral. Lineage: Eukaryota; Metazoa; Arthropoda; Insecta; Hymenoptera; Vanhorniidae.